CUUAUUGUUUUACUCCUCCUUAAUAUGGCAAACAUAAAAGAUAUACCAAUUGGAUAUCAUAUUGCAAUUCAUAGUAUUUUACAUCAUGGAUAUGAGUUAUUUUGCAUGCACAUAAUUAAAAGCAAUUCAAUUUGAAAGUCAUUCAUUGAAAGUCAAGGAGUAUAUAUUUAUAAUCAAAAAGUGACUGAUUACAUAGUUGUUCCAAUACAUAUACCAAAAUACAAAAGUCAAUCAGUCAACAUCAUUACAUGGCCCAAAAGAUAGUUUCUAGACUAAAACUAAAAAAAAGACUAACUACUCAGGAUCUAGUAGAGAUCAUGACUGGAUGGAUCAGAGUCAGAUG
Molecule: long non-coding RNA, 343 nt
Filed under: Elaeis guineensis (African oil palm)
Lineage: Eukaryota; Viridiplantae; Streptophyta; Magnoliopsida; Arecales; Arecaceae
Description: long non-coding RNA (EGUI_LNC034321)
Source: RNAcentral